RNAcentral lists this ribosomal RNA (459 nucleotides) under uncultured bacterium. RNAcentral's name for it is "partial 16S ribosomal RNA". It matches the Rfam family "Bacterial small subunit ribosomal RNA", at positions 338 to 795 of the family's 1533-position model. The record is from RNAcentral.
CCUACGGGUGGCAGCAGUGAGGAAUAUUGGUCAAUGGGCGCGAGCCUGAACCAGCCAAGUCGCGUGAGGGAAGACGGUCCUAUGGAUUGUCAACCUCUUUUGUCGGGGAGCAAAAGACGCCACGCGUGGCGUUCCGAGAGUACCCGAAGAACAAGCAUCGGCUAACUCCGUGCCCGCCGCCGCGGUAAUACGGCGGAUGCGAGCGUUAUCCCGAUUUAUUGGGUUUAAAGGGUGCGCAGGCGGAAGAUCAAGUCAGCGGUAAAAUUGAGAGGCUCAACCUCUUCGAGCCGUUGAAACUGGUUUGCUUGAGUGAGUGAGAAGUAUGCGGAAUGCGUGGUGUAGCGGUGAAAUGCAUAGAUAUCACGCAGAACUCCGAUUGCGAAGGCAGCAUACCGGCGCUCAACUGACGCUCAUGCACGAAAGUGUGGGUAUCGAACAGGAUUAGAUACCCCUGUAGUC